This 2291-nucleotide unclassified non-coding RNA is filed under the name Hevea brasiliensis (rubber tree). The record is from RNAcentral. Lineage: Eukaryota; Viridiplantae; Streptophyta; Magnoliopsida; Malpighiales; Euphorbiaceae.
UCUCUCUCUCUCUCUCUGAGUUUCUCUCUCUGAGAGGCGAUCCCUAAUCCAAAGCCUUAUUUCUUUUUGUUUUAAUCUUUCUUUAUUCUCCGAUUUCUUGCUCUAAAGAUUCCUAAUUUUUGUUACAUUCUGCUUCUGUUCGCAUUGAAUUUCUCUAGGUGCUUUGUUCAGCUUUCUGUUGGCUUAGAUAAUUGCACACAGCGGAUGCCAUUUGGGUUUUCCGUUCUUGCGAGCGAUACAGCGUCUUUGUUGCCAAUUUCGCUUCACCGUUUGGAUUCGGUUGGUAUUGUGUUUCGUGAGUUGAUCGAUUCGGUUGGCUGUGGAGCGCGGAUUUGGCUUUGUGUUUAGGUGCGUGAGAGCGAGGAUUAUUGGGAUUUUUUUUUAAACAAUUUUUUUUUUCUAAUUCUGUGAUGAGAAUCGUUAUCAGACGAUGAACGAUGCCGGUGCUGCGUAGUGGAGCGCGCAGGGGCCGGGGAGCAGCAACAGCAGCAGCGAAGCAGCAGACAAAUCCGACCGAGGCAGUAGAGGCAAUCGCAACAAGGACACGCAGAAGACGUGCGGAAGCUGCGGCCGCUGGGGCUGCACCUAAAAACAAUAAUACUAACAACAAUAACGAAAAGGACCAGCAGCAGCCGGUAGAUGAAAACAUAGUUGCUGUUGCUGCAGUGGCGGCGGGGGCAGUAGCAGUGAAUCAGGGGGAGAAUAGGGGUUUAGAGGGGGGAGUGGGAGUUGCUGGUGUUGGCGUUAUUGGUGGAGGGGCGGAAAAGGAGGAAGUAGGAGAGAAGCCUAUGGAUGACUACGAUGGUGGCGGGAAAAGUAAUGAAAAAGCCAAUGCUGGUGAAGAUGAGGGAAGCACUGCUCCACUUCCUGAGAAGGUUUGUUGAGUUUUAGUUUUACAUUAAUUUCAAGUGCAUUUGUUGAUAUAUGAUUAUACAUAUAGAUUGUUGAUCUUUUUAAAGGUUUUUGCAGUUUAGGUUUGAUAUUGGGGUUAUAGUGGCUGCUGUGAGUUGUGUUUUAAGUUGUAGGAAUUGCAUUUCCUCAUCUUUUAGAUAUAGUAAAAGGACAGUUUUUAUCUCUUCUCUUCUGGUUUGGGGCUACAAUGGGUUGUUUUAGUGUUAUUGGUAGGAUAAUUUUACUGAUUUUGAAGGAGUUACCAACCCUUCAAGCAAUUGGGUAAAUUAUGGGGUUCCUAGUUCGGUUUCUGAUCGUUGCAUUGAACUUUCUGUACCUGAUGGGGGUUAUUGUUGUUUGGAAAAUUUGGGGUUCUAUAGAAGCAUUGCAAAGUCUGUAAGUAUCUAUGUUUGUGUCUUUUUUCUGGGGAUUUAGGAUGUUCAAUCAAGAAUGUGAUCCAACUGUUUUUAUUUGUGUGGUUUAUUAUAUGGAAUCUUAGACAAAGAAUUUUCUGUAAUUUUUACUGUUGGCAUUUUAUUAUUAUUGUCUGCAUACAUUGCUGAUCUUUACAGGUGGUAGUUACUCUCUAGUUUUCCUUCCAAAAGUCUGACUUUAGGUUCCUUUUUUAAAUGUGACAAGACAUGGCAGUUUCUGAACUAUAUGGCUUAUUUCAGUAAAUUGCCUUUCAUAAGUAUACAUGGCUAGACAACAUAACCUGAAAGUGAUCACUUAGCAUGCAUGUUACAACUUCAUCUCUUCCUCAAUUCUAGGUGUAGUGUUUCUUUUGGUUAAUUUAAUUUAUGAUUUGCUUGUAGUUAAACUUGAGCGAGUAAUCAAUUUACUAAAUUAUCGCACUUAGGAUGUGCUUAAUGGCAGCUUGCAUUCAUCAUUUUUGUUGUUGCAAGUGCUAUGCACCAUGGGGAUAAUGUAUCUUGCUUGGUUCAAGCAAUUCGACCCCAAUUGUUGGUCAGUUUUUGAAAUUUGGAUUUGCUAAUUUUCUGUGCUGAUCUUUGAACAUAUAAAAUUUAAGAUCUGUUACUGAUGGGACCUAUAUUAUCCGGUCUAUAUUGACUUUUUCAUAAAUGGGAAUCUAUAUUGAUUAAUGGAUUUUCCCACAUACACAUUGAUUUGCCCAUUUCUAUGAUGGCGAAUGCUUUGCUUUAGGGCAAAUUUAUGAAGUGCUUAACUUCAUUACCGCCCUUUCCUUCCAUUGGUUUCUAUGUUUUCAUAGUCCCAGUCCCACCUCCACUGCAAAUUGUGGUCCAUUCUGAAUACAAAGUUUUGUUACGGCACUCAAUUCAUUACAGGGUCAAUGCAGUUUUUUAAUCUAAAUUAUUCUUAGAUUAGUGUGUUGCAUGCCCCCAAUAACAUUCUUUGAAUACAUAAGUGUUAUUAAGGUG